UCAAAGCCUUCAGAAAUUCAGUUUCUGGAAGAAAAGAAGUCAUACAAGCUUCAGCACUUGGGCUGACCCACUGAAAUCAGUGGAGGUACCUUUGCCAAGGUGGACUUUGACCCGUGGAUUCACAAUGAACAAAAAUUAUUUCUUGAAGAGUUGUUUAAAUAACUAAGUAACAACAGGCUCCCAUGGGAUAAGAGAGCAUGAAAAAGAGAAAAAGAGAGAAGGGGAAUGAAGCAAUCAGAAGGGAGAAAGGAUGGGGAAAAAAAAAAAAAAAAAAAAAGGCUAGAAAUGAUCUAGAGGAUAAAUAAAAGCAAAGGGCAUGCUUAAAGCACAGGACAAGAAAAUGACAGACAAAAGAAACAGGAAUAAUGACAGAGAGAAAGAAAAAAAAAAAAAGAAAAAGGCUUAAAAUAAGAGUGGGUACUCGUAAUGCUGAAAAGAGAGAUAGAAACAAUAGUAAGAGGGGAAGAGAAGAAAGACUGGCAUGAGGCCUUGGUGGCACUGUGAGGAGAGAGGCUAGAAAAAAGCCUCAGCACAACAAUAGAGGGAUGAGAGACAGAGGCGCGAGGGGGGCAGCACAGAUUAAAUGAGAACCAAAUGUAACCGUAACAAAGGUUCCGAGAUAUAGGCAAUGAAAACAUCUUAACAGGGAAAUGUUUUUUUGUAUGUGUGUGUGCACGUGUGUGUAUUUUCACAUACUCAAAAAGAUUCUUUCUCUCCGCCAAGAAACACUCCCUCCCUGCUCUCCCCAUCCACCAGCUCCCCCUCCACCCCCCCAACCCAGAACAGCUCAGUCUCAAAAGCAAAGGCAAGGAACACUCAGUGUCACUCUGGACUUCAAUUAUUAUUUCUUUUUCUUUUCCUUUCCUUUCUCAAUUUUCAAACAAGCACCUCCAUGGAGGCUGCCCCUCCUUAAAAUCCAUUUUUAAAAUUCUCUCUUGCUGUGAUGGCUGCAAAAGAUGUGACAAUUGGCAGGCUGCUGCUGUGCUGAAACUAGUGUUUGUUGUGCUGACCAGUUUUCUAGCUGUUUCCUCAUAAUUCUUAGAUGGCUUUUCAUACCCGUUUAUUGUCUUUCCUCUUGGAGUGGAAGCACUUUAAGAUGGGGCUGUCUCUGUACCUGUGCAGCAGCCAGUGAAGGGCAAUAUUAACAAAGGUUCUCCUGUGAUUUUUGCAAGUCACUUUUGAAAAUUUCUUCCUGUUCCUGAGGGAUUCAAAUAUGGCCUUUUUCUUGGUUGAAAAUAAGCAUUUAGAUGCAUUCCUGUUUACACAUGCCACAGCAGAGCUCCCACAGAAGCCUCCAGACCUGAAGGAAAGUCAUAGCAGCACCUACACGGACUGAAGGCUAUGGCUCCGGUGAUGCUGGUGCAGUGGGGUGGCAGGGACUGUGUAGCAUGGACUUGUCAUGCAAAGCCCUGCAAGCUCCCUUCUCACUUUCCCAUGACGCACUGUUGCAGGUGAGUGUCUUGUCUGUGCACAGUCCCUCAGGGUGGGCUUGUCUUGGCCCAGUCACCCACAGAGCACAGCAAGAGCCAAGAGAGCAUGAGGUAGAGAAGCAAAAAGUGUUCGUGUUUAUUGUGUGUUGUGUGCUUGGGGAAGUAGUCAAUCCUGGUUCCUUUGUGCCCUUGAGAAGGGUGCAGGAGGACUCCCUUGAAUGUGAGCCUUCUCUGGAGAGAAUUAGAUUAUUGUCCUCUCCAACCCAGGUGGCUGUCCCCUGUCACACUGCUUUGAUCUGCUCUUGACUACCAUUUUGUUCCUGGUGCCCGGGACAGCAGAUACCUCACUGACCGUAUGACAGGAAUGCAUCUAUACUGCUCAAACAUCUGAUGGAAAAGACAUCUGUUGAUCCUGCUGGAAAAUGAGUGGCUUUAUGAAGCACAUGUAGGGCAGUUGCUCAGUUCUCUUCUGUAAAACAGCACAGAAAGAUGGCAACACCUUCCAGUACCUGCUGCUCAGACAGGUGGUACAAGAGCCCCUAAAUCUGUGUGCAGCGGUAUAGGGAUAUAUGGAAGAUGUACCUUAAAUAUUGACUGUCACUGAUAUUUCUUGUCAAUUUCUCUUCAAAAGACAGCUGCUGCCAGACUCAAACUGGUCAUUUGGGACAAGAAGGAGAACAUGGGAGAGGAAUAAAAUGCAAUUAUUUACAGUGUAACCAAGCAGUUUUUACACAGAGGGUGAUAUAAAAGUGAGGGAAGCAACAGAAGUGAGGAACAGUUGCUAUCUUAAUAGAAGAGCAGCUUCCUGCAGCUUCCUGGUUCCUUAGAUUUUUAUUUUAAUACUUUUGUACCAAGACCAAGCAAAAGAAACUCCUCAACUACUAAGUGCAACUUAUGGGGCAAAGUGGGGAACUGCUGUGAGUACUGUGCUUCAGAGGAGCCAGUGCUCCUAAGGUACUACUCAGGUACUGUUCAACAUACAGGUUGAAAUAGGCUUAAAUUGUAAAGUUUGGAUAAAAAACUGCAGAUAAUUCCAAAUUUCUGUAAACCUAUUUGUGCAUAUGUUAUGUAGGAGGUUGCAAGAAUGAAGUUCUGCAAAUGAAUCUGAAUUUCCCAAAGGUCUGGACUGUACUUUCAUGCCAAGAAAUCGCAUUAUUGAGUUUUUAAACAAAUGAUCAUUAAUGAUGAUCUUAAUGAUCAUUGACAUUGUUCUUGUAGAGGAGUCAGGGAAAUGUCACGCAGUGCAAUCCUUGCUGCUAAAGGGUUAAACUCUUUCUUGGCUGGGGCAGCUUGCUGACCUAGCUAAGAGAAAAAAGCUAUAGGUCAGCGAGUGAGAUUGCCCUUCCUUUAGAAGAACUGCCCAGACAGUCCAGGAAGAUUACAAUAAGUGUGUAGAGACUAAGCUAGGAAUUAGAGACUAGGGAGUGCUGAUUUCAAUUCUUUUAUGUGCAGUCUUUGGGCUAAAAUCCAGGGAGUUGAAUUAGCAUAAACUGUUCCAGUAACCCCGAGGAUAUAUUACUCAGCCCCACCUAGCUGGAGGGCUUGAGCACCACCAUACCUGGAACUGCUGACACUCGGACAGGAAGCUGACAGAUAAAAAGAUAGAUUGGUCUGAUCGGGUAAGCGGAGGCAUGGCUAAACGAUUUACACAGGGCCAAAGAGAAUGCGGAAGGGAAGAAGACACUGAAAGAAAUCUAAAGAUUAUUAAUAUUCUUCUCUCAUUGAGGCUUUCUCUUGUUCUCCAGCUCUGAGAUAAAAGCAGGUGGUGAAGGCAAUGCUGAACAUGUUCAGCACAUUCAGCUGAACACAAUUCACAGAAAUGGAGUUGCAUUUCAGUCAAUGCACAGGUAGGUUGUAUCAAAAAAAAUAAAAUCUGGAUAAUGCGAGACAUGAUCCUCCUGUUGGCCCAUUAAAAGGGUUUGGAGCCUUGGAACAACAGCAAUAGAGAGGGUCCUCAAUCUACUACUUCUCUGGGUGGAGCACAAGCAGAAGAAAAUGUGGAUGCUCGACAGUUGUCAACUGUAGAUACAAGAGCUGAUAAUUUACCAGCAGCAGUAUCUCCAAAUUAGCAUCCUAAGUGUUUGGAGAUGCCAGACAGCCAAUGGCAGCCAGAUUUACAACUGAUAAGCUCGCUGUUUGAGCUCACAAGUACCCAGCACCCCAUGUCAGCUGGCUGGCACCUGUUCUCACAAAAAUAAUACAACUAGUGUAUUACACUCUGCAACAGCAGUUGACAAUGUGACCAUGAGUAGCACCAUGUUUAAUUACAGUCAUACUUCACCUUCUGGAAUUAAACAGUGGGAAAUACCAACUGUGAAUUCAUCAAGAAGAGAUUUGGUUAGGAGAAGAGGGGAGUGGCUGUGCAUUGGUUUAAAACUAAAGUCACAGAUGGAGCUGGUAAGGCAGAGGCCUGGAAGUGUCUGUAAGAAGCUGAACGGGGAAUCUGAAAGCAAUUCCUUAAACUUCUGCCAGCUGAAGAAGAAGACAGUGCUAAAGCCCUAAUUAGAAGUCUGGUGAGAAAUCUUUCUGGGGAAAACCACCUGCAGGCAGAUUGCUUUCAAAUGUGGUCUUGCAAAUCACUCUGAAACCAAGGGAGCCAGCCUUAGCCAUAGUGCUUAUAAUACACGGAGACAAGGACCAUCUCCCCUCCAUGCUGACCUGUGCUCCAAUGCAAUUACCUCUGCAGCUGAUUGUACAAGCCUCUUCCUCACAAGUGGGAGCUAUUUUCAUAGACCUCAUUGUUUUAGACAGUUUUAGAAAUGAUGGUCUAUUUCUAAUGUAAGAGAGCCCUGACAGUGGCAUCCCUGCUAAUGGACUGUAAUUACAGGAUUGAUCCCACUUCCCUGCCAAUAUGAACCCUUCUGUGCUUUCUAAGGCAACAACAACAGCAUAAAUCAAUGGUCUGCCACAACAAGCUUCAGUGGAUUCAGGUUUGGUUGGCUUUGUGUAGCUGCUGAGGAGACCUGCAUGGGAAGUGGGACCUUUCCCAGGAAUUGUGAGGCCACCUGCGACUUUAAACCUUCCUUCCUUCUACAAGUUAAAUGGUACCAUGAGGAUUCCAGUACUAGGAAUGCUGGUUUCUGUCAGAUCAGAACUGGAAAGAAUUACCAUAGUUUCAUAGAAUCCGGGUUAUGUUAUUUCUGUUGUUGUAGAAGAUAUGUCAUCUGAUGGGUCAAAUUCAUAGUAAUUUUCAGAUUAAUCAGAUUUUUUCUCUGAUUUUGCAAAUAAUUGUAAUCAUAGCAAGUAUUAUGAAGAUUAUAAGUGGAAAAUCUCUCUCUUUAUCAAUAAAGUCAUUGGUUUCUUGCAGAAAUUGAAAUGAAAAUCUUUGGUGAAUACAGUAGAAUUAUGUACAAAUGCAUUUUAUCUUAUUUUACUUUAUUUUUGGUUUUAAUUCUGUAGAAAAAUCUUUCACAUUUAAAAGCAUAUUUGCUAGAAAAAGGAAACCUGAGGUGAAGUUUUUCCUGAAGAACAUGGACAUGGAAUUUUUUCAACUUUAUUCUUCUCAGAAAGUGUUUUCAUGUUAAUAUGCAAAAGGACUCAAUUUUGUGCUUUUACAACACAUUUUCAAAGUAAUAUGUUUGUUUAAAAACAGGUACAUUUUGUUAAGAAAUGCUUGGAUUUAAUCUUUUUACACAUAUAAACAUUUUUAGGUUUUAUACAAAUAAGGACUCUUAAUGUAGCUUUAUGUUUACUUGAUAUUAUUCUGCACAGUUCUAUAUGAGAACUUGCCAAAAAGUAUUUAUAGAUAAAUUUUGCUUGAUACAAUGUAGGAUCUUCAGUUUCAUGUCCAUUACUGCAAUGUAUAUGUGAUUCAGGUGUGCAACUUCAUUGUACAAUAUACUUUGCUAUUUCACAGUGAUGAAUGGAAUAGGAUGGUGGCACAAACUUUUAACAAAGUUCAGAGACCGCAAUAAAGGUGGAUCUAAAAGCUAAUUCCUUCUGUCAAAACCAUUUAAAUCACUGAAGGACCUAGGCAUUACUCUUCCUUUGCAACUGCAGUAAAGUCCACUAAGAUGUCAACUCACAGUGAUGGGAAGGUCCUUAUUCUCCACCUCAAUAGUACUAAAGAAGCUAAUGUUUAUUUAUUUAUUUAUUUAUUUUGUAAAUAAGUCCACAUGCAGCGGAACCAUAAAACAUCAUUUUGCUCCUUCCAAAAGUACUACCAUGUAAUGUCUGUAGCUUUGGUUUUUAUUUAAUUUUUUGAUUAAAGUUUUUAUUGAUUUCCCUGCAGUGUAGAAUAUAUCAAUAUCUUUGGUUUCAAAGGAGCAUUCAGUAGCACAGAAACACAGAAGGACUCAACAUAGAAGCAGGUGCUUUAUUUUAAAUUUAUGAAACCUCCAUAGCAAAUCCCCCGAGCAUGCUGCCAGCAAUACCUUUCAAUUGUGCAACUCAGCCUCUCUUGUUGAACCAAGUCCCUUUGGUGCCUCCCAGUUUGCAGGCUUGUGUUUUUUAACUAGAAAAAGGCUUGUUUAGGAGUCAGUAGGAACUAAUAUUGUUAUAUAGAAAGCUUUUAAGCCAUCAAGUGAAUUCCA
Long non-coding RNA from Anas platyrhynchos (mallard), 5962 nucleotides. RefSeq lists it as uncharacterized. Lineage: Eukaryota; Metazoa; Chordata; Aves; Anseriformes; Anatidae. The record is from RefSeq and is a predicted model, not a curated record.